GCAAAUACUCAAAAAAACAAUCUCAGUUCAGACUGCAGGCUGCAACUCGCCUGCACGAAGUCGGAAUUGCUAGUAAUCGUAGGUCAGCAUACUACGGUGAAUACGUUCCCGGGCCUUGUACACACCGCCCGUCAAACCAUGAGAGUUGGCAACACCCGAAGUCGGUAGUCUAACCGCAAGGAGGACGCCGCCGAAGGUGGGGUUGAUGAUUAGGGUUAAGUCGUAACAAGGUAGC
RNAcentral lists this ribosomal RNA (235 nucleotides) under uncultured bacterium. RNAcentral describes it as "partial 16S ribosomal RNA". It matches the Rfam family "Bacterial small subunit ribosomal RNA", at positions 1267 to 1500 of the family's 1533-position model. The record is from RNAcentral.